RNAcentral lists this ribosomal RNA (253 nucleotides) under uncultured bacterium. RNAcentral's name for it is "partial 16S ribosomal RNA". It matches the Rfam family "Bacterial small subunit ribosomal RNA", at positions 524 to 776 of the family's 1533-position model. The record is from RNAcentral.
UACAGAGGUCUCGAGCGUUAGGCGGAAUCACUGGGCUUAAAGCGUGUGUAGGUGGAUGCCUAAGUACCUUGUGAAAUCCCACAGCUUAACUGUGGAACUGCUUGGUAUACUGGGUGUCUUGAGUCACUCAGGGGCGAGCGGAACAAAUGGUGGAGCGGUGAAAUGCGUAGAUAUCAUUUGGAACGCCAAUGGUGAAAACAGCUCGCUGGGAAUGAUCUGACACUGAGACGCGAAAGCCAGGGGAGCGAACGGG